RNAcentral lists this non-coding RNA (180 nucleotides) under Rivihabitans pingtungensis. RNAcentral describes it as "6S RNA". It matches the Rfam family "6S / SsrS RNA". Rfam says of the family: E. coli 6S RNA was the first non coding RNA to be sequenced, but its function was unknown until recently. It consists of 184 nucleotides that fold into an extended hairpin structure with a large single-stranded internal bulge. The record is from RNAcentral. Lineage: Bacteria; Pseudomonadati; Pseudomonadota; Betaproteobacteria; Neisseriales; Aquaspirillaceae.
UCUCCCCUGCGGUGUUCGGAACGGCUUAAAUUCCUUGAACCAAUAGUUGGUAACUGGUUGCCAGCCCCAUUGCCCCAGCGUGUCGCGCCGCUUGUCCGGCGCGCCCAACAGGCAAAGCCGGCGACCCCCUGAUCCGCAAGGUUCAGGAUGACCGGCCGGAUCGGCAUCUGCGGGGGACCC